GGGGGGGGGGGGGGGUGACAUCACCUGAAAACAUCUUGUCGGGAAAACGAGGGAUUUUGUUGGCGAUUUUAACAUUGUCGUCUAAUCACAUUUGACCUGUCUCAACUCCCCCCCCCCGUCGACACAUAUUGUCUGCAAAAUUUUAAUUUUUGUCGGCAAAUACAAUACCACAAACCAUCCCCCCUGCUUAAGCCUCUUCGCGACGACCCUCUCCGCUGGAAUUCUGGACGCCCAUGCAGUGGGCUGCAGAAAUUUCAACACAAACAGUUAAA
Non-coding RNA from Paramuricea clavata, 272 nucleotides. The record is from the annotation of a GenBank genome assembly. Lineage: Eukaryota; Metazoa; Cnidaria; Anthozoa; Malacalcyonacea; Plexauridae.